This 37-nucleotide ribosomal RNA is filed under the name Neofusicoccum parvum. RNAcentral's name for it is "partial 28S ribosomal RNA". Lineage: Eukaryota; Fungi; Ascomycota; Dothideomycetes; Botryosphaeriales; Botryosphaeriaceae. The record is from RNAcentral.
GAUCAGGUAGGGAUACCCGCUGAACUUAAGCAUAUCU